This 339-nucleotide unclassified non-coding RNA is filed under the name soil metagenome. Its description in RNAcentral is "partial contains 5.8S ribosomal RNA, internal transcribed spacer 2, and large subunit ribosomal RNA". The stretch from base 1 to 120 matches the Rfam family "5.8S ribosomal RNA", at positions 35 to 154 of the family's 154-position model. The record is from RNAcentral.
GAUGAAGAACGUAGCGAAAUGCGAUAAGUAAUGUGAAUUGCAGAAUUCAGUGAAUCAUCGAAUCUUUGAACGCACAUUGCGCCCAUUAGUAUUCUAGUGGGCAUGCCUGUUCGAGCGUCAUUAAGUCCAUUAAGCCUAGUUGCUUAGCGUUGGGAGUAUUACCGUACGGUAACUCCUCAAAGUCAGUGGCAGGGUUACGGUACACUCUAAGCGUAGUAGAUUUCUUUCUCGUUUUUGCUGUGGCCGCGGCCGUUGCCAUAAACCUAUACUUUCUUAGUUGGUUGACCUCGGAUCAGGUAGGAAUACCCGCUGAACUUAAGCAUAUCAAUAAGCGGAGGA